UAUCAUGCCAGAUCCUGAGAAAUAUCGCUGUUGAAAUAUCGCUGUUAAAAUCUCUCCUUCCCCCUAGAGACAUCCUCCACUGAUGUGAUCCAGCUGUGCAUUCUCCUGAGCUCCAGCAAAGGCAUGCAGCCUGCAGAAGCAGUUUGAAUAUGGCAGGAACUGAAGUAACUGGUGAAGAAUAAGCCCAGGCAGCAAGCAAUUCAAGAACCAUACGGGAGGAAUAGCUGUGUCUAACAAGCCUGUUCCAAAGGUGUGCUCUCAAACAUUUUUUCAGAUGUGGGAAAUUUGACAGAUUUCAGUUUUCUAUGACAUUUAUAGGAAGAAACCAGUAGAAACUACACAGAGGAAAAGUACUCACCACUUGACUGCCGCCUGAAUAAGAAUCAAACAUCACAGGACUUUACACAGGAGAUCUCAGUCAUAAUCUGGAAAGUAUAUGAAUCUACAAGAUGCACUGAAAGACUUCUGACUUAAUGCCUCUAAGUUCUUCAACAGCUGAAAGCAGUGAAUUGAGCAAACAGUCACAAAACACUUCCUGAGAUUGUUUUGU
Molecule: non-coding RNA, 550 nt
Organism: Sturnus vulgaris (Common starling)
Lineage: Eukaryota; Metazoa; Chordata; Aves; Passeriformes; Sturnidae
Source: RefSeq, a predicted model, not a curated record